Oryctolagus cuniculus (rabbit) is the source of this 4400-nucleotide non-coding RNA. The record is from RefSeq and is a predicted model, not a curated record. NCBI's taxonomy places the organism in Eukaryota, Metazoa, Chordata, Mammalia, Lagomorpha, Leporidae.
GAUUUCUGAUUAUUUCUCAUUCACAAAUCUUGCUUUUCCACAGGAGAGGUGGUUUAGGAGCAGGAAGUUCAGCUUAUCCUCUGGCUUUGGCAUGAGAUCUUGACUGGGUCACUUUAGCCAUCAGAAUCUCUGCUUGCCUCUCUGAGCAAUAAAAAUAAUGUAGCCACACUAUAAGAUUAGAGGAUAGAUAUGAAAAGUGUAAUGCUUUCUUGAAUUGCUGUUGAACUACAAAGUACAUUUUGCUAUAAUGAUUUUGCUGUAUCUUUCACAUAAACACAGCUGUGGGUAUCCUGUACUACUAGAAAUAAUGGAUAGCAUGAAGAAAUAAAAUAUAUGAUGUCUGCAUCUUAGUCUAACCGAUAGUAACAUCUUAAUACUGGCCAUUGUGUUUUUCACUGAGCUGCAGUUGGAGGAAAACAGAACCUCUUUUCAGAUAGGAAUAAGUACAGGGAAUACCAAAAGCCAGGCAGGCCAUUCAAGGAAGGAGAGAAGACAAUGGUCUGAGAUAGCCUUCUAAGUGGCAAACUACUUCCUGAAGAGCAGAAAAUUGGAAAUAGUCCUUGUAUUAUGAUAGUGCCAUUAAGACAUCCUGUUUCUAGGCAGUUGCUGUAUCAAGGGAGUGUCUGGGGAAGGGUUACAUGUUUUGAAUCCCUGGUAUGCAGCUCAGUGCCCAGGACACACUCAGUUCUUGUUGGGAAUCUGUUGAAUGAUCAGGUGUAGCAACUCAAACUUCAGCAUUUCCUUGACAUUUAUCACAUGUAUCUGAUUCUCUCAACGAUUUUAUUUUACAGAUGGAGAAAAAUAGUCUGAGAGAGACCAGAUGACUAGGGUAUCCCUCAUUUCUGGUAUCCAGGCGUCUAGGUCUCUUAUCGCCAAGUCCAGUAGUUCUCCAGAGGAAGAGCUUCUUGCCACACUGGGGACUGGUCAGGAUGCUCCAAAAGUAACCACCCCUUUGAGGCAGUGUUUUUUCCUACAAAUUCUAGGUUUCUGAGGACUCCAGGUGAACCUACUGAAUUUAUAAUAAAGUGUCUCAGUGACAGAUAUUCUGUAGGUAUUGAAUAGCUAAUACAUAUGACUGGAAAGGGAUGGGUAAGAAAUUUAGAUAUCAUUUCCAGAUGCAGACAGUAAUCCCUAGUGUCCUUCUAUUUAUUGAUUGACAUGCGUAGCUUAAUUAGAGUAAUAGUAAAGACAGUGAUCCCAGGCCUGGCUUGUAAAAUGCUUUCACAUCCUUUUUUUUUUUUUUUUUUAAAUCCAGCAAGUCCUUACAGCUUCGUUCUAGUUCAGAAGACUAACUUGCUGCCUUUCUUUUACUGCUUUAUUCCCCCAACAUCUGGCCCAAAGCCUGACACAGGUAAGUGCUCACUAGAUGGCUGCUGAAUGUUUGAAAGUGUGAAUAACUCAAUGAUAAAGGAUAGACUAUUUGUGAUUAAAUACGUUUUGUUUCAUAAGAUGCUAAUUAAAGCAAUAAAGCAAAACAUAAAAUAGUACCACUAUCUGUAUCUUUCUUUUAGAUUUUGCUAUAGUUUGGAUGUGGUUUUCCCCCAACCCCAAGUUUCCUGUUGUAGAAGCUUAGUGCCCAGAGUGGUGAUGUGAGAGAUGGAUCUUGAAGAGGAGGGGCCCAAUUAAGGUCACUGGGGGCACACCCUCAGAUGGGAUUAAGGAAGUUCUCAUGGGGCUCUGAGUUCAGUUCGUACUUCUCAAAGGUUGAUAUAAAAGAACAAGCCUGGCUGCUCGUCCAUCUCUGGCUUCCUGUCUCACCCUGUAAUCUUUCCCUCUUGCACGCACUCUUGCCGUGACACCUUCUACCUUGGAACACAGCCACAGGAGCUAUCACCUGAGGCAGAAUCAAUGGAACCACCCUAUCUUGGACUUUCAGCCUGCAGAACCUCUCUUCCACUGUCACCCUCUAUCCUCCCCGGUUGGCUGAACCAAUGAGACCUGCCUGAUCUUGGACAGUAAACUUCCAAAACUUCCAGUGAACUUCUAAAACUCACUUGGACAGUGAGGUGAUGGUGAGAGCUUCCCAAGAAUAAGGUCCUCACCACUACAUGGGCUUCGUGAUGCACUGUAAGGUGAAUUCUUCCCUGGUGUAGCCCGAGGACAACCGAGCACUCUGUUGACAACAUGAGCAUCUUUCCUCUCUGCACUAGUAUAGUUUGUGUAACACAGUUUAAAAGAAAAUUAUUUUCAGGAGUUUGCAAGGGAGAGAUGUGUGGGCAAACAUCAUCUAAGGUAAUCCAUUAAACUGAACAUUAUAAAAAUAUUUAUUUGGAGCGAAUAGCUCUAUUGUGUCAUGUAAAAUAAAAAUUUCAUAGAACAUUUCUUCACCGCAAGCACUUUAUCUCAUCCUAAUCUUUUUCAUACCAAUGAAUUGCAAAUGAACUUCAACAAACCAGAACUCAACAGUGUCCUUGUCAUGUGCAUAAUUAAACUUGGUGGUUGUGGUUGCAGUGUUUCUUUUAAAUAACAUGGAUGAAUCGAAUAUGGUAAAAUCAUAAAAUUAGGCUCAUGUUCAAAGUAUUUAAGGUCAUAGAAACUCGAAAGUUUAAUUGCAUUAGGCAAAAAAACAAAAGCAGAUAACCUGCUUCCUAAAUAACCUCCAUCUGGAUCCUGAGCCAGAAGGAGCUUGAGUUCCGGGGCAGCCUGGAGGUAUAUGAGGGAGGCCAGGGAGGAGCAGAUGGUUUACCUGCAGACUCCAACUUUUCUUUCUCUUUCUGUAAUUCUAGUUGCCUUCUGCAUGUUUCACUGUUGUAUAGCACCUCAUUCAAGUAGGGGGACGGAUCAGUUGAAACUCAAAUCCGUUAAUGGUGUUUCCAAAUAUUAUUAGAACUUAGAACUUUCAGUGAGAGUUUUAAAAACUUGAAAAAAGUGGAAAUGCAUACAAAGUACAGUGACCUCAGUUCCCAGGCAGCAAGGGCACUUUCUGGAAGCAGGAGGGAAAACCAUUUGGCAGCACAGAUGUUUCUCCCAGUGAUUUCUUAGGACAUUGACUCAAGGGCACAGGAGAGUCCUUUUCUCUGCUCCAUUCUGUUUGGAAUCUUGCAUUCACUCUGUCAGUAUUCAGAAGAUGCCAUUGCUCACAUUCUCUUUUUAUGAGCAGACUAUUAUAGCCAUAUAUUGUUCAUUUCACUAUUUUUAUAGGAAACUGUGAAACAAGCAAAAUUCUCUGAACCAAGGAAUAAAUCCUAGGCUAACCCAUCUCUUCAUAAUAUGAAAAAAUAAAUUAAUUAAAUUGCUGUAGGGAUGCAUAUGUGUCUUGGUGGGUUUAGAAGCCAGAUGUAAAGAAUGGGAGACCACAAGUGUUUUUUCAUUUUUUACUUUUGACUUGGUUUUUUGGGGGGUUCCAAUUGUUGACAUUGUAUUUAGCCAAGAUUGUUUUGAGACAUCAAAGCUCUGAAUGAUUUAACAUUAAAUGUCAAGCCCUGGAGAUUCUAUUGUGCAUGGGCAAAACAUCAAGUCAAUUCAACAGCACUUGGAAAAUAAAAAUAAUGAAUUAAUUUCUUCUAAAACUGGUUCCCUCUAUUCCCGACUCACCCUCCCCUCCUCCACAUAGCUAAUCUCUUGUCAUAAUAGCAAUGCUACUAAAGUUACAAGAUUUAGCCCUGGAAAUUUCUGAGUUAUAAAAGAAGUCAAAAUUCAACAGUUUCUUGGUGAGUGAAAAUGUGCAUUUUUCUUUUUCUUUCUCUUGCAUGGUUCAAGAAUAGCAGAAAUCAUUCCACAAGAGUGUUCCCAACAAUGAUUUUAAAGAAAACAAAUUUUUAGUUCUCAAGCUGGGGCUAAGCCUAAAACACCAAAUUGUGAUAAACUGCCAGCCACAGAGAGGGCAGUCUCUAAAAUCUACCACUUUUCAACCACAGCUCCAUCUAGAUAAUUAGCCUGUGUGGUAACAUCCUGCCCUUUGAACACAGGCAAAGCCCAGAGUGCAACCAAACCACAGCUAUCUUGGUAUUGGAAGGUCCAUUUAUUUAAGGGAUGGAAUUUAUUUUGAGGGAGAGAGAGAUGGAUAUGCUGUCUGGGAGGAAAAAUCAUAAGGUUUUCACAGUUAAUCCAGAAAUAUUUUUCAGAGAAAAUGGAAAUGAAGAAAAGACAAAGAAUUAUGUAACAGAAGCCAGUCUUGAGGACACAUCAGUUGAGAGGAUUGGGGAUGGGUAAAGGACUUUUCUUAUUGUGAGGAAAACUCAUUAGAAGGCACAAGAAUUCACAAAAACAUAUGGAAUUUCAUUGGUAAAUAUGGUUUGUUAUUUCUUAGCACUUGCAUUGUGAAUUGGACCCUGAUUUGGCAAGGAGAGCUGGCAUAUAUCUUUUUUGUCAUGAGGUCUUUCAGGAUCUCAUUCUAGUCAACUAUAAAAUGAAGGGAAUGAAUUCAAUGGGGGAUGGAAGGUCAAGUUGAAGAGUUAGCA